This 490-nucleotide ribosomal RNA is filed under the name uncultured bacterium. RNAcentral describes it as "partial 16S ribosomal RNA". It matches the Rfam family "Bacterial small subunit ribosomal RNA", at positions 30 to 507 of the family's 1533-position model. The record is from RNAcentral.
AUUGAACGCUGGCGGCAGGCCUAACACAUGCAAGUCGAACGGUAACAGAAAGCAGCUUGCUGCUUUGCUGACGAGUGGCGGACGGGUGAGUAAUGUCUGGGAAACUGCCUGAUGGAGGGGGAUAACUACUGGAAACGGUAGCUAAUACCGCAUAACGUCGCAAGACCAAAGAGGGGGAGCUUCGGGCCUCUUGCCAUCGGAUGUGCCCAGAUGGGAUUAGCUAGUAGGUGGGGUAACGGCUCACCUAGGCGACGAUCCCUAGCUGGUCUGAGAGGAUGACCAGCCACACUGGAACUGAGACACGGUCCAGACUCCUACGGGAGGCAGCAGUGGGGAAUAUUGGACAAUGGGCGCAAGCCUGAUGCAGCCAUGCCGCGUGUAUGAAGAAGGCCUUCGGGUUGUAAAGUACUUUCAGCGGGGAGGAAGGGAGUAAAGUUAAUACCUUUGCUCAUUGACGUUACCCGCAGAAGAAGCACCGGCUAACUCCGUG